GACGGAGGUGGCGAGCGUUGCUCGGAUUUACUGGGCGUAAAGCGCGUGUAGGUGGCCCUGCAAGUCAGACGUGAAAUCCCUCGGCUCAACCGAGGAACUGCGUUUGAAACUGCUUGGCUUGAGUGCAGGAGAGGAAGGUGGAAUUCCCGGUGUAGAGGUGAAAUUCGUAGAGAUCGGGAAGAACACCGGUGGCGAAGGCGGCCUUCUGGACUGCUACUGACACUGAGACGCGAAAGCGUGGGGAGCAAACAGG
RNAcentral lists this ribosomal RNA (253 nucleotides) under uncultured bacterium. Its description in RNAcentral is "partial 16S ribosomal RNA". It matches the Rfam family "Bacterial small subunit ribosomal RNA", at positions 524 to 776 of the family's 1533-position model. The record is from RNAcentral.